AGCAGCCGCGGUAAUUCCAGCUCCAAUAGCGUAUAUUAAAGUUGUUGCAGUUAAAAAGCUCGUAGUUGAAUUUCGGGGUCUGUCCGUCGGUCGGGCUUCACGGUCCGUACUGGUGUGAUGGGUUCCUACCUUCUGAAUAACCGGCAUGCCAUUCAGUUGGUGCGCCGGGGAAGCAGAGCUAUUACCUUGAAAAAAUUGAGUGCUUAAAGCAGGCUAGUGCUUGAAUAGAUUAGCAUGGAAUAAUAAAAUAGGACGGCAUGGUUCUAUUUUGUUGGUUUCUAGGAUCACCGUAAUGAUUAAUAGGGAUAGUUGGGGGCAUUAGUAUUCAAUUGUCAGAGGUGAAAUUCUUGGAUUUAUUGAAGACUAACUACUGCGAAAGCAUUUGCCAAGGAUGUUUUCAUUAAUCAAGAACGAAAGUUAGGGGAUCGAAGACGAUCAGAUACCGUCGUAGUCUUAACCAUAAACUAUGCCGACUAGGGAUCGGAUGAUGUUAAUUUUUAAUGA
Molecule: ribosomal RNA, 504 nt
Filed under: uncultured Acaulospora
Lineage: Eukaryota; Fungi; Glomeromycota; Glomeromycetes; Diversisporales; Acaulosporaceae
Description: SSU rRNA
Rfam family: Eukaryotic small subunit ribosomal RNA
Source: RNAcentral